RNAcentral lists this ribosomal RNA (481 nucleotides) under uncultured bacterium. RNAcentral's name for it is "partial 16S ribosomal RNA". It matches the Rfam family "Bacterial small subunit ribosomal RNA", at positions 28 to 523 of the family's 1533-position model. The record is from RNAcentral.
GACGAACGCUGGCGGCGUGCGUAACACAUGCAAGUCGAGCGGUAAGGCUCCUUCGGGGGUACACGAGCGGCGAACGGGUGAGUAACACGUGAGUAAUCUGCCCCUGGCUCUGGGAUAAGCAUUCGAAAGGGUGUCUAAUACCGGAUAUGACAAUCCUCCGCAUGGGGUGGUUGUGGAAAGUUUUUUCGGCUGGGGAUGUGCUCGCGGCCUAUCAGCCUGUUGGUGGGGUAAUGGCCUACCAAGGCUUUGACGGGUAACCGGCCUGAGAGGGGGACCGGUCACACUGGGACUGAGAGACGGCGCAGAGUGCUAGGGGAGGCAGCAGUGGGGAAUAUUGGACAAUGGGCGGAAGCGUGGUCCAGCAACGCCGCGUGAGGGAUGACGGCCUUCGGGUUGUAAACCUCUUUCAGCGAGGACGAAGCGUGAGUGACGGGACUCGCAGAAGAAGGACCGGCCAACUACGUGCCAGCCGCCGCCGUAA